UUAGAUAGACUAUCUACAAUUUUAUCCAUAUCUCCAGGCAUAGAUGGUAGCCAGCAAAUUGAAAGUUGAUAAAUCUCUGUGGUAGUGGACUGUUUUUGAUCAGUUGUUCAAUAUUAAACCUGUUAUGUAAAAUUUUUGUAUGUUUAAUGUAAACUAAGAAUAAAACUAGGCUUCAAAUAAAUAUUAAUAUGUCUCUCCUAGACCAAUAAGAAUAUCUUAAUUAUGCUCGUUUGAUGAUGAGCUGGUAAUUUUCAGAUACUGGUUUGAUCAUAAUUAUAAAUUAAUCAUAUUUUUAAAAUCCGAAUGUUUUGAGCCUCACCAUUCUGUGCACACUGUGCGCAUUAUUGAAAUAUCU
Cinara cedri is the source of this 355-nucleotide non-coding RNA. The record is from the annotation of a GenBank genome assembly. Lineage: Eukaryota; Metazoa; Arthropoda; Insecta; Hemiptera; Aphididae.